GGCGGACGGGUGAGGAACGCGUAGGGAUGUGUCCCUGGGUGGGGGAUAACGUUGGGAAACUGACGCUAAUACCGCAUAUCUGCUGAGGCAGAAAGCCGCAAGGCGCCUGAGGAGCAACCUGCGUCCGAUUAGGUAGUUGGUGGGGUAAUGGCCUACCAAGCCUACGAUCGGUAGCUGGUCUGAGAGGACGAUCAGCCACACUGGAACUGAGACACGGUCCAGACUCC
This 227-nucleotide ribosomal RNA is filed under the name uncultured bacterium. RNAcentral describes it as "partial 16S ribosomal RNA". It matches the Rfam family "Bacterial small subunit ribosomal RNA", at positions 97 to 339 of the family's 1533-position model. The record is from RNAcentral.